Molecule: long non-coding RNA, 8060 nt
Filed under: Capsella rubella
Lineage: Eukaryota; Viridiplantae; Streptophyta; Magnoliopsida; Brassicales; Brassicaceae
Description: long non-coding RNA (CRUB_LNC000459)
Source: RNAcentral
GCUUGUCUAAUGUUUUUUGGGGUUGGAAUAUGUUAGAAUACAAUAAAUUUGAUUAAUUCCAAGUGCUAGAGGUGCAUGAAGAGUGUUUAGAAGUGUGGAGAAAGACUUGUUGAAAUUAGGUCCCAAAUGGGCUAAGAACUAGGAAACAUUGCGUUGAACCACUAAAUGACUUAUCUAGUGUUGUUUGGGGUUAGAAUAUGUUAGAAUACAAUGAAUUUGAUUUAUUUCAAGUGCUAGAUAUGCAUGAAGAGUGUUUAAAAGUGUGUAAAGAGACUUGCUGAAAUUUGGUCCAAAAGGGGCUAAGAACCCACAACCAAUGCUUUGAAGCAUUAAAUGGCUUGUAUACUGUUUUUUGGGGUUAGAAUAUCUUAGAAUACAAUAAGUUUGAUUGAUUACAAGUGUUAGAGGUGCAUGAAGAGUGUUUAGAAGUGUGGAGAAAGACUUGUUGAAAUUGGAUCCCAAAUGGGCUAAAAACUCGGAAACUUUGCGUUGAACCACUAAAUGACUUAUUUAGUGUUUUUUUGGGGUUAGAAUUUAUUAGAAUACAAUGAAGUUGAUUGAUUACAAGUAAUAGAGAUAGAUAAAGAGUGUUUAAAAGUGUGUAGGAAGACUUGCUGAAAUUUGGUCCAAAAUGGGAUAAGAACCCACAACCAUUGCAUUGAAUAAUUAAAUGGCUUGUCUAAUGUUGUUUGGGGUUAGAAUAAGUUAGAAUACAAUAAAUUUGAUGAAUUAAAAGUGCUAUAGGUGCAUGAAGAGUGUUUCGAAGUGUGGAGAAAGACUUGUUAAAAUUGGGUCCCAAAUGGGCUAAAAACUCGGACACAUUGCGUUGAACCACUAAAUGACUUAUCUAGUGUUGUUUAGGGUUAGAAUAUGUUAGAAUGCAAUAUACUUGAUUGAUUUCAAGUGCUAGAGAUGCAUGAAGAGUGUUUAAAAGUGUGUAGAGAGACUUGCUGAAAUUUGGUCCAAAAUGGGCUAAGAACCCACAACCAUUGCUUUGAAGCAUUAAAUGGAUUGUAUAGUGUUGUUUGGGCUUAGAAUAUGUUAGAAUACAAUAAAUUUGAUUGAUUACAAGUGCUAGAGGUGCAUGAAAAGUGUUUAGAAGUGUGGAGAAAGAUUUGUUGAAAUUGGGUCCGAGAUGGGCUAAAAUCUCGGGAACAUUGCGUUGAACCACUAAAUGACUUAUUUAGUGUUUGUUUGGGGUUAGAAUUUGUUAGAAUACAAUGAAGUUGAUUGAUUACAAGUAAUAGAGAUAGAUAAAGAGUGUUUAAAAGUGUGUAGGAAGACUUGCUGAAAUUUGGUCCAAAAUGGGAUAAGAACCCACAACCAUUGCUUUGAAUAAUUAAAUGGCUUGUCUAAUGUUGUUUGGGGUUAGAAUAUGUUAGAAUACAAUAAAUUUGAUUAAUUACAAGUGCUAUAGGUGCAUGAAGAGUGUUUAAAAGUGUGGAGAAAGACUUGUUGAAAUUAGGUCCCAAAUGGGCUAAGAACUCGGAAACAUUGCGUUGAACCACUAAAUGAAUUAUUUAGUGUUAUUUGGGGUUAGAAUUUGUUAGAAUACAAUCAAGUUGAUUGAUUACAAGUGAUAGAGAUAGAUGAAGAGUGUUUAAAAGUGUGUAGAGAGACUUGCUGAAAUUUGAUCCAAAAUGGGCUAAGAACCCAUAACCCAUUGCUUUGAAGCAUUAAAUGUCUUGGAUAGUGUUGUUUGGGGUUAGAAUAUGUUAGAAUACAAUAAAUUUGACUGAUUACAAGUGCUAGAGGUGCAUGAAGAGUGAUUAGAAGUGUGGAGAAAGACUUGUUGAAACUAGAUCCCAAAUGGGCUAAGAACUCGGAAACAUUGCGUUGAACCAUUAAAUGAAUUAUUUAGUGUUAUUUGGGGUUAUAAUUUGUUAGAAUACAAUCAAGUUGAUUGAUUACAAGUGAUAGAGAUAGAUGAAGAGUGUUUAAAAGUGUGUAGGAAAACUUGCUGAAAUUUGGUCCAAAAUGGGAUAAGAACCCACAACCUUUGCUUUGAAUAAUUAAAUAGCUUGGGUAAUGUUGUUUGGGGUUAGAAUAUGUUAAAUAGCUUGGGUCCCAAAUGGGCUAAAAACUCGGACACAUUGCGUUGAACCACUAAAUGACUUAUUUAGUGUUGUUUGGAGUUAGAAUUUGUUAGAGUACAAUGAAUUUGAUUGAUUUCAAGUGAUAGAUAUGCAUGAAGAGUGUUUAAAAGUGUGUAGAGAGACUUGCUGAAAUUUGAUCCAAAAUGGGACAAGAACCCACAACCAUUGUUUUGAAGAAUUAAAUGGCCUGUCUAAUGUUGUUUGGGGUUAGAAUAUGUUAGAUUACAAUAAAUUUGAUUAAUUACAAGUGCUAGAGCUGCAUGAAGAGUGUUUAGAAGUGUGGAGAAAGACUUGUUGAAAUUGGGUCCCAAAUGGGCUAAGAACUACGAAACAUUGCAGUGAACCACUAAAUCACUUAUCUAGUGUUGUUUGGGGUUAGAAUAUGUUAGAAUACAAUGAAUUUGAUUGAUUCAAAGUGCUAGAGAUGCAUGAAGAGUGUUUAAAAGUUUGUAGAGAGACUUGCUAAAAUUUAGUCCAAAAUGGGCUAAGAACCCACAACCAUUGCUUUGAAGCAUUAAAUGGCUUGUAUAGUAUUGUUUGGGGUUAGAAUAUGUUAGAAUACAAUAAAUUUGAUUGAUUACAAGUGCUAGAGGUGCAUGAAGAGUGUUUAGAAGUGUGGAGAAAGACUUGUUGAAAUUGGGUCCCAAAUGGGAUAAGAACUAGGACACAUUGCGUUGAACCACUAAAUAACUUAUCUAGGGUUGUUUGGCGUUAGAAUAUGUUAGAAUACAAUGAAGUUGAUUGAUUACUAGUGCUAGAGAUACAUGAAGAGAGUUUAAAAGUGUAUGGAAAGACUUGCUGAAAUUUGGCCCAAAAUGGGCUAAGAACCCACAACCAUUGCUUUGAAGAAUUAAAUGGCUUGUCUAGUGUUGUUUGGAGUUAGAAUAUGUUAGCAUACAAUAAAUUUGAUUGAUUACAAGGGCUAGAGGUGCAUGAAGAGUGUUUAGAAAUGUGGCGAAAGACUUGUUGAAAUUAGGUCUCAAAUGCGCUAAGAACUAGAAAACAUUGCGUUGAACCAAUAAAUGACUUAUCUAGUGUUGUUUGGGAUUAUAAUAUGUUAGAAUACAAUGAAGUUGAUUGAUUACAAGUGCUAGAGAUACAUGAAGAGUGUUUAAAAGUGGGUAGAAAGACUUGCUGAAAUUUGGUCCAAAAUGGGCUAAGAACCCACAACCAUUGCUUUGAAGAAUUAAAUGGCGUGUCUAGUGUUUUUUGGGGUUAGAAUAUGUUAGCAUACAAUAAAUUUGAUUGAUUACAAGGGCUAGAGGUGCAUGAAGAGUGUUUAGAAGUGUGGAGAAAGACUUGUUGAAAUUGGGUCCCAAAUGGACUAAUAACUCGGAAACAUUGCGUUGAACCACUAAAUGACUUAUCUAGUGUUGUUUGGGGUUAGAAUAUGUUAGAAUACAAUGAAGUUGAUUGAUUACAAGUGCUACAGAUACAUGAACAGUGUUUACAAGUGUGGAGGAAGACUUGCUGAAAUUUGGUCCAAAAUAGGAUAAAAUCCACAACCAUUGCUUUGAAUAAUAAAAUGGCUUGUCUAAUGUUUUUUGGGGUUGGAAUAUGUUAGAAUACAAUAAAUUUGAUUAAUUCCAAGUGCUAGAGGUGCAUGAAGAGUGUUUAGAAGUGUGGAGAAAGACUUGUUGAAAUUAGGUCCCAAAUGAGCUAAGAACUAGGAAACAUUGCGUUGAACCACUAAAUGACUUAUCUAGUGUUGUUUAGGGUUAGAAUAUGUUAGAAUUCAAUAUACUUGAUUGAUUUCAAGUGCUAGAGAUGCAUGAAGAGUGUUUAAAAGUAUGUAGAGAGACUUGCUGAACCCACAACCAUUGCUUUGAAGCAUUAAAUGGCUUGUAUAGUGUUGUUUGGGGUUAGAAUAUGUUAGAAUACAAUAAAUUUGAUUGAUUAAAAGUGCUAGAGAUGCAUGAACUGAUUUUAGAAGUGUGGAGAAAGACUUGUUGAAAUUGGGUCCGAGAUGGGCUAAAAACUCGGAAACAUUGCGUUGAACCACUAAAUGACUUAUUUAGUGUUUGUUUGGGGUUAGAAUUUGUUAGUAUACAAUGAAGUUAAUUGAUUACAAGUAAUAGAGAUAGAUAAAGAGUGUUUAAAAGUGUGUAGAAAGAUUUGCUGAAAUUUGGUCCAAAAUGGGAUAAGAACCCACAACCAUUGCUUUGNNNNNNNNNNNNNNNNNNNNNNNNNNNNNNNNNNNNNNNNNNNNNNNNNNNNNNNNNNNNNNNNNNNNNNNNNNNNNNNNNNNNNNNNNNNNNNNNNNNNUGGGUCGCAAAUGGGCUAAGAAAUCGGAAACAUUGCGUUGAACCACUAAAUGACUUAUCUAGUGUUGUUUGGGGCUAUGAUAUGUUAGAAUACAAUGAAUUUGAUUGAUUGCAAGUGCUAGAGAUGCAGGAAGAGUGUUUAAAAGUGUGUAGAGAGACUUGCUGAAAUUUGGGCCAAAAUGGGCUAAGAACUCACAACCAUUGCUUUGAAGAAUUAAAUGGAAUGUCUAAUGUUGUUUGGUGUUAUAAUAUGUUAGAAUACAAUAAAUUUGAUUAAUUACAAGUGCUAUAGGUGCAUGAAGAGUGUUUCGAAGUGUGGAGAAAGACUUGUUUAAAUUGGGUCCCAAAUGGGCUAAAAACUCGGACACAUUGCGUUGAACCACGAAAUGACUUAUCUAGUGUUGUUUGGGGUUAGAAUAUGUUAGAAUACAAUGAAUUUGACUGAUUUCAAGUGCUAGAGAUGCAUGAAGAGUGAUUAAAAGUGUGUAGAGAGACUUGCUGAAAUUUGGUCCAAAAUGGGCUAAGAACCCACAACCAUUGCUUUGAAGAAUUAAAUGGAUUGUAUAGUGUUGUUUGGGGUUAGAAUAUGUUAGAAUACAAUAAAUUUGAUUGAUUACAACUGCUAGAGGUGCAUGAAGAGUGUUUAGAAGUGUGGAGAAAGCUUGUUGAAAUUGGGUCCGAGAUGGGCUAAAAACUCGGGAACAUUGCGUUGAACCACGAAAUGACUUAUUUAGUGUUUGUUUGGGGUUAGAAUUUGUUAGAAUACAAUGAAGUUGAUUGAUUAAAAGUAAUAGAGUUAGAUAAAGAGUGUUUAAAAGUGUGUAGGUAGACUUGCUGAAACUUGGUCCAAAAUGGGAUAAGAACCCACAACCAUUGCUUUGAAUAAUUAAAUGGCUUAUCUAAUGUUGUUUGGGACUAGAAUAUGUUAGAAUACAAUAAAUUUGAUUAAUUACAAGUGCUAUAGGUGCAUGAAGAGUGUUUCGAAGUGUGGAGAAAGACUUGUUUAAAUUGGGUCCCAAAUGGGCUAAAAACUCGGACACAUUGCGUUGANNNNNNNNNNNNNNNNNNNNNNNNNNNNNNNNNNNNNNNNNNNNNNNNNNNNNNNNNNNNNNNNNNNNNNNNNNNNNNNNNNNNNNNNNNNNNNNNNNNNAAUGACUUAUUUAGUGUUGUUUGGGGUUAGAAUAUGUUAGAAUACAAUGAAUUUGAUUGAUUUCAAGUGCUAGAGAUGCAUGAUGAGUGUUUGAAAGUGUGUAAAGAGACUUGCUGAAAUUUGGUCCAAAAUUGGGCUAAGAAUCCACAACCAUUGAUUUGAAGCAUUAAAUAGCUUGAAUAGUGUUGUUUGGGGUUAGAAUAUAAUAUAAUACAAUAAAUUUGAUUGAUUACAAGUGCUAGUGGUGCAUGAAGAGUGUUUAGAAGUGUGGAGAAAAACUUGUUGAAAUUGUGUCCCAAAUGGGCUAAAAACUCGGAAACUUCGCGUUGAACCACUAAAUCACUUAUUUAGUGUUGUUUGGGGUUAGAAUUUGUUAUAAUACAAUGAAGUUGAUUAAAUACAAGUAAUAGCGAUAGAUAAAGAGUGUUUAAAAGUGAUUGAUUACAAGUGCUAGAGAUACAUGAAGAGUGUUUAAAUGUGUGUAGAAAGACCUGCUGAAAUUAGGUCCAAAAUGGGCUAAGAACCCACAACCAUUAGUUUGAAGAAUUAAAUGGCUUGUCUAGUGUUGUUUGGGGUUAGAAUAUGUUAGCAUACAAUAAAUUUGAUUGAUUACAAGGGCUAGAAUAAAAUAAAUUUGAUUAAUUACAAGUGCUAUAGGUGAAUGAAGAGUGUUUCGAAGUGUGGAGAAAGACUUGUUGAAAUUGGGUCCCAAAUGGGCUAAAAACUCUGAAACAUUGCGUUGAACCACUAAAUGGCUUAUCUAGUGUUUUUUGGAAUUAUAAUUUGGUAGAAUACAAUGAAUUUGAUUGAUUACAAGUCAUAGAGAUAGAUAAAGAGUGUAAGUGUGGAGGAAGACUUGCUGAAAUUUGGUCCAAAAUAGGAUAAGAACCCACAACCAUUGCUUUGAAGAAUUAAAUGGCUUGUCUAAUGUUGUUUGGGGUUAUAAUAUGUUCGAAUACAAUAAAUUUUAUUAAUUACAAGUGCUAUAGGUACAUGAAGAGUGUUUCGAAGUGUGGAGAAUGACUUGUUGAAAUUGGGUCCCAAAUGGGCUACGAACUCGGAAACAUUGCGUUAAACCACUAAAUGACUUAUUUAGUGUUAUUUGGGGUUAGAAUUUGUUAUAAUACAAUCAAGUUGAUUGAUUACAAGUGAUAGAGAUAGAUGAAGGGUGUUUAAAAGUGUGUAGGAAGACUUGCUGAAAUUUGGUCCAAAAUGGGAUAAGAACCCACAACCAUUGCUUUGAAUAAUUAAAUGGCUUGUCUAAUAUUGUUUGGGGUUAUAAUAUGUUAGAAUACCAUAAAUUUGAUUAAAUACAAGUGCUACAGGUGCAUGAAGAGUGUUUCGAAGUGUGGAGAAAGACUUGUUGAAAUUAAGUCCCAAAUGGGCUAAGAACUCGGAAACAUUACGUUGAACCACUAAAUGACUUAUUUAGUGUUAUUUGGGGUUAGAAUUUGUUAGAAUACAAUCAAGUUGAUUGAUUACAAGUGAUAGAGAUAGAUGAAGAGUGUUUGAAAGUGUGUAGGAAGACUUGCUGAAAUUUGGUCCAAAAUGGGGUAAGAUCCCACAACCAUUGCUUUGAAUAAUUAAAUGGCUUGUCUAAUUUUGUUUGGGUUAGAAUAUUUUAAAAUACAAUAAAUUUGAUUGAUUUCAAGUGCUAGAGAUGCAUGAAGAGUGAUUAAAAGUGUGUAGAGAGACUUGCUGAAAUUUGGUCCAAAAUGGGCUAAGAACCCAGGAAACAUUGCAUUGAACCACUAAAUGACUUAUCUAGUGUUGUUUAGGGUUAGAAUAUGUUAGAAUUCAAUAUACUUGAUUGAUUUCAAGUGCUAGAGAUGCAUGAAGAGUGUUUAAAAGUAUGUAGAGAGACUUGCUGAAAUUUGGUCCAAAAUGGGCUAAGAACCCACAACCAUUGCUUUAAAGCAUUAAAUGGCUUGUAUAGUGUUGUUUGGGGUUAGAAUAUCUUAGAAUACAAUAAAUUUGAUUGAUUAGAAGUGUUAGAGGUGCAUGAAGAGUGUUUAGUAGUGUGGAGAAAGACUUGUUGGAAUUGGGUCCCAAAUGGGCUAAAAACUCGGAAACAUUGCAUUGAACUACUAAAUGAUUAAGUUAAUGUUGUUUGGGGUUAGAAUUUAUUAGAAUACAAUGAAGUUGAUUGAUUACAAGUAAUAGAGAUAGAUAAAGAGUGUUUAAAAGUGUGUAGGAAGACUUGCUGAAAUUUGGUCCAAAAUGGGAUAAGAACCCACGACCAUUGCUUUGAAUAAUAAAAUGGCUUGUCUAAUGUUUUUUGGGGUUGGAAUAUGUUAGAAUACAAUAAAUUUGAUUAAUUCCAAGUGCUAGAGGUGCAUGAAGAGUGUUUAGAAGUGUGGAGAAAGACUUGUUGAAAUUAGGUCCCAAAUGGGCUAAGAACUAGGAAACAUUGCGUUGAACCACUAAAUGACUUAUCUAGUGUUGUUCGGGGUUAAAAUAUGUUAGAAUACAAUGAAUUUGAUUGAUUUCAAGUGCUAGAGAUGCAUGAAGAGUGUUUAAAAGUGUGUAAAGAGACUUGCUGAAAUUUGG